RNAcentral lists this ribosomal RNA (426 nucleotides) under uncultured bacterium. RNAcentral's name for it is "bacterial SSU rRNA". It matches the Rfam family "Bacterial small subunit ribosomal RNA", at positions 355 to 774 of the family's 1533-position model. The record is from RNAcentral.
UGGGGAAUAUUGGACAAUGGGCGAAAGCCUGAUCCAGCCAUGCCGCGUGUGUGAAGAAGGUCUUCGGAUCGUAAAGCACUCUAAGUUGGGAGGAAGGGUACUUACCUAAUACGUGAGUAUUUUGACGUUACCGACAGAAUAAGCACCGGCUAACUCUGUGCCAGCAGCCGCGGUAAUACAGAGGGUGCAAGCGUUAAUCGGAAUUACUGGGCGUAAAGCGCGCGGAGGUGGUUUGUUAAGUUGGAUGUGAAAGCCCCGGGCUCAACCUGGGAACUGCAUCCAAAACUGGCACGCUAGAGUAUGGUAGAGAGUGGUGUAAUUCCCUGUGUAGCGGUGAAAUGCGUCGAUAUAGGAAUGAACACCAGUGGCGAAGGCGACCACCUAGACUGAUACUGACACUGAGGUGCGAAAGCGUGGGAGCAAACA